ACGAGGGAAUGGGUAGAUUAUGUAUUUCGUUUGUGAACUGAUGCUCGGGCAAGGGCGACUGUGGGAUGCGACUUCGUGUCGAUGUCCGCGUCGAGAAAUUAGCAUGUGUGGCUUUAUUGGCCUUUUCGUGUUUACAUGGUGUUUAAGUUGCUAGAGUUCAUUGUUUGAAUGAUAAAAUUCAGGUGUCUGGUCUUCCUGUUAAUGCUUCAGUCCCUAGAUGACUUGAAAUGUGUUAAGGCAAGCCCAUCUCAUCAAAAGCAGGUUAUAUCUCUAGCGAUUUAAACACCAACUAGUCUGGAAAAAAUGCGUGUGUUUGCUCUAUUUAGUCUUGCUUCCAUCAUAUAUUAAUAAUGAGGAGUAGGACCUUAUAGUGGUAAUAUCUUUUUUGCUACUAGGGCAAUGUGCAUUUGUCGUGGUUUGGGCAAAUAAUGAUUCGAUCCACAACAUGGGAGCAAUACAUAUUUGCUUGCUUUGAAAUGUUGACUCCAUAUUCGCAUGUUAAUUAGGUAUUCAAGAUCCCCCUCACCUUGGAGAGAGCAGUCAAGGUCUAGGUCCAGAUCCAGGUCUAGGUCCCCGUCCUGGUCCAAGCACCAGCCGAGGUCACGGUCCAGGAGCCGUGGCAGAUCAAGAUCCAGAAGUCAUGGCAGGGAUGACAACAAUCCUGGAAAUACGCUUUAUGUGACCGGUUUGUCCACUAGGGUCACCGAAAGGGAGCUAGAAGACCACUUUUCGAAAGAGGGGAAGGUUGCUUCUUGCUUCCUCGUGGUGGAGCCUCGCACACGCAUCUCCCGCGGAUUUGCAUUUGUUACCAUGGACUCUGUUGAGGAUGCUAACCGUUGAGAAGAAGACUUUGCGUCAGCUAUGUUGGCAGCAACCAAAGAUGAUGAGUUCAUCCAUGUCAACUUAAGUGAAACGGCUUGAUCAAUGGCCGGCUUUAACAGCUUUUCAAAAGCAUCUGAUCAACUAAACAUAGCAACUAUAUUGCAACAACCAUACAACCUCAGCACUCACUUUCAACUCUCAACUAAUCAACGGACAUUAGCAACAACUUUCUAGUCAGGAUUAUAUGGUAUCUCAUAUCCGGCAUCCAUUUGUUGGAAAACUAAUCUUAAGUGUGUGGUUUUUGUUUCCUUUUAUUCCUGUUAACUUCUUUCACGUAAUUUGAGAUUUUUUUUUUAAAAAUAAUUCUUGUCCUUUGGAUAGACUAUCUAGAAGGAUGUACUUUGUUCAUGUUUGUGUGGUGAUUGAAAUUGGCAACGGAGCUUGUAGCAGAAGUGAUUUGGAUGGCCAACCUUUUGAAUGAUGGCUUUAUUUUCUUUAGUUGGGUACUUUCCAUUGGUAAUGCUUUGUUUAUUUCAGUCACGGAGGAAGCGACUGCGGACUCCAACUCCUGGGCAAUAUCUUGGAUUGAAGAGCACUAGGGACCACGGCUAUUGUGGUGACCGUGGUGGUGACCGGGGUGGUGACCGUGGUAGGUAUCGUGGUGGCCGGGAUGAUUAUGGGUACCGUAGAUCCCCAAGGCGCUCACCAUUUUGAGGUGGCCGUGAUUAUUCUCCCAGGCGCUCACCUUAAGGUGGAAGGUCAAGGAGGGACAGAUCAAGGUCACCUAUCUAUUCUCCUCGCGGUUCUAGGUGAUUGUUCUU
This is a long non-coding RNA of Syzygium oleosum, 1643 nucleotides long. RefSeq lists it as uncharacterized. The transcript is spliced from 6 exons. The record is from RefSeq and is a predicted model, not a curated record. NCBI's taxonomy places the organism in Eukaryota, Viridiplantae, Streptophyta, Magnoliopsida, Myrtales, Myrtaceae.